AUACGGAGGAUGCGAGCGUUAUCCGGAUUUAUUGGGUUUAAAGGGUGCGUAGGCGGAUUGAUAAGUCAGUGGUGAAAACCUGCAGCUUAACUGUAGACUUGCCAUUGAUACUGUCAGUCUUGAGUAUGGUCAAGGUAGGCGGAAUGUGUAAUGUAGCGGUGAAAUGCUUAGAUAUUACACAGAACACCGAUUGCGAAGGCAGCUUGCUGGGCCAUUACUGACGCUGAUGCACGAAAGCGUGGGGAUC
Molecule: ribosomal RNA, 247 nt
Filed under: uncultured bacterium
Lineage: Bacteria
Description: partial 16S ribosomal RNA
Rfam family: Bacterial small subunit ribosomal RNA
Source: RNAcentral